This 228-nucleotide long non-coding RNA is filed under the name Ornithorhynchus anatinus (platypus). RNAcentral describes it as "lncRNA (ENSOANG00000038637.1)". The record is from RNAcentral. Lineage: Eukaryota; Metazoa; Chordata; Mammalia; Monotremata; Ornithorhynchidae.
UGUGACUCAAGCCUUACAAUUGUAUCCUUUGUGCAGAUCCCAGAAGAUGAAAUGGUAGUUCCAGAGCUUGACAGAGCGCUCCUCUUUCUGCAUCCAAUACAGAUGAAGUAUCCAAAGGGCAGAUUUCCAGGGCUCCAUGUGACACCAGAAAACUGGAGGCAACCAAAACAGAAAUCUGCAAUACAGAAGGCAGUUUUCAGAUCUGGUUUUUUGAGCAUCACCUAUUAG